Molecule: ribosomal RNA, 376 nt
Filed under: uncultured Lactobacillus sp.
Lineage: Bacteria; Bacillati; Bacillota; Bacilli; Lactobacillales; Lactobacillaceae
Description: bacterial SSU rRNA
Rfam family: Bacterial small subunit ribosomal RNA
Source: RNAcentral
AUAACAACAGAUGAUGCCUAUCAACUAGUUUAAAGAUGGUUCUGCUAUCACUCUUGGAUGGACCUGCGGUGCAUUAGCUAGUUGGUAGGGGUAACGGGCCUACCCAAGGCGAUGAUGCAUAGCCCGAGUUGAGAGACUGAUCGGGCCACAUUGGGGACUGAGACACGGCCCAAAACUCCUACGGGGAGGCAGCAGUAGGGAAUCUUCCACAAUGGACGCAAGUCUGAUGGAGCAACGCCGCGUGAGUGAAGUAAGGGUUUCGGCUACGUAAAGCUCUGUUGUUGGUGAAGAAGGACGAGGGGUAGUAACUGACCUUUGUUUGACGGUAAUCAAUUAGAAAGUUUACGGCUAACUACGUGCCAGCAGCCGCGGUAAU